AGAUUGAACGCUGGCGGCAGGCCUAACACAUGCAAGUCGAGCGGUAGAGAGGUGCUUGCACCUCUUGAGAGCGGCGGACGGGUGAGUAAUGCCUAGGAAUCUGCCUAGUGGUGGGGGAUAACGUUCGGAAACGGACGCUAAUACCGCAUACGUCCUACGGGAGAAAGCGGGGGCCUUCGGGCCUCGCGCCAUUAGAUGAGCCUAGGUCGGAUUAGCUAGUUGGUGAGGUAAUGGCUCACCAAGGCGACGAUCCGUAACUGGUCUGAGAGGAUGAUCAGUCACACUGGAACUGAGACACGGUCCAGACUCCUACGGGAGCAGCAGUGGGGAAUAUUGGACAAUGGGACGAAAGCCUGAUCCAGCCAUCGCCGCGU
This 374-nucleotide ribosomal RNA is filed under the name uncultured soil bacterium. Its description in RNAcentral is "bacterial SSU rRNA". It matches the Rfam family "Bacterial small subunit ribosomal RNA", at positions 26 to 402 of the family's 1533-position model. The record is from RNAcentral.